Molecule: ribosomal RNA, 466 nt
Filed under: uncultured bacterium
Lineage: Bacteria
Description: partial 16S ribosomal RNA
Rfam family: Bacterial small subunit ribosomal RNA
Source: RNAcentral
GACGAACGCUGGCGGUGUGCUUAACACAUGCGAGUCGAACGGUAAGGCCCUUUCGGGGGUACACGAGUGGCGAACGGGUGAGUAACACGUGAGUAACCUGCCCUCAUCUCUGGGAUAACAGUCGGAAACGGUUGCUAAUACUGGAUAUGAGCUUGCAAGGCAUCUUGUGGGUUGGAAAGAUUUUUUUGGUUGGGGAUGGACUCGCGGCCUAUCAGCUUGUUGGUGAGGUAGUGGCUCACCAAGGCUUCGACGGGUAGCCGGCCUGAGAGGGCGACCGGCCACAUUGGGACUGAGAUACGGCCCAAACUCCUACGGGAGGCAGCAGUGGGGAAUAUUGCACAAUGGACGGAAGUCUGAUGCAGCAACGCCGCGUGCGGGAUGACGGCCUUCGGGUUGUAAACCGCUUUCAAUUGUGACGAAGCUUUUUGUGACGGUAGCAGUAGAAGAAGCACCGGCUAACUACGUG